GCCGGUGUGGCGGAAUGGUAGACGCGACGCACUCAAAAUGCGUUGUCCACAGGGCGUGCGAGUUCGAGUCUCGCCACCGGCAC
This 83-nucleotide transfer RNA is filed under the name Microbacterium sorbitolivorans. Its description in RNAcentral is "tRNA-Leu". It matches the Rfam family "tRNA". From Rfam's summary of the family: Transfer RNA (tRNA) molecules are approximately 80 nucleotides in length. Their secondary structure includes four short double-helical elements and three loops (D, anti-codon, and T loops). The record is from RNAcentral. Lineage: Bacteria; Bacillati; Actinomycetota; Actinomycetes; Micrococcales; Microbacteriaceae.